This 209-nucleotide long non-coding RNA is filed under the name Physcomitrium patens. Its description in RNAcentral is "long non-coding RNA (PPAT_LNC010942)". Lineage: Eukaryota; Viridiplantae; Streptophyta; Bryopsida; Funariales; Funariaceae. The record is from RNAcentral.
AGGUUUGGAACUAGGAUUCUUACAAAGAGGCAAAGGGCUUAUCUACAAGUUAAAAGAGAGCUUUUGGGAGGACUCACCGCUUUAAAGGUUGAGAGGAAUUAUUUGAUUGGAGCAAGUAUGGUUUUGGAAACAGAUUGUUUGCCAUUACUUGGAAUGAUAAUUAACUGAACUACUCCAGACAUUACUAUAUUAAGAUGGAUAGCCUAUAU